Molecule: long non-coding RNA, 2151 nt
Organism: Alligator mississippiensis (American alligator)
Lineage: Eukaryota; Metazoa; Chordata; Crocodylia; Alligatoridae
Exons: 3
Source: RefSeq, a predicted model, not a curated record
GGCCCUGGAAACAUAUACGCUCAGGGCUAGAGCUAGCAAGUUUAUCCUUUCUGGAGAUUGCUAAGGGAAGGAGCCCAGGUUUAGAGACCUGGCCAGAGACAUUUGGUAAUCUGCUUUGCUGCUUAUAAGGACUGCAGCUUCAGGAGCCUACAAGGGACCAGGACUCCCCCACCGUCAUUCAAGACGGACUCGAGGAGAACGCCUCAAGACCUAAGGUUGAGGAGGACCGAGGGUAUUCAUGAGGCACAGAAGCAACAAGUGCUGAAAAGGGAAUAAGCAGCUGAAGGGCAUGUCCACCAAGAUGAGAGGCUCGGGAAGCAAUGGAUUUUAAACUCGUUUUUGGCAGUCCUCAAGGCAGACCAAGUUCUAACUGGCAUGGAAGUACAGCUACCAUUGUUCAAAGCCCUGGAGACGAAGUUUGGGGAGUAGUAUGGAAAAUGAGCACUAGCAAUUUAAUUUCUCUGGAUAAGCAAGAGGGAGUUGAAGAGGGUCUGUAUGCUCCAAUAGAGGUUGACGUUAGCACUCAAGAAGGAAAUGAAUAUAAAAUGAAAGAAAGAAAAAAAUGAAUACUUCAUCUCUGCACAGAAAUAUAUGUAUAUCAAUUUCCUAAGACACUGUCAGAGAAGAGUACAAUAGUAAAUUGUGCUUAUGAUGAAAGCAGUUAAAUAGCAUUGCAUGACCUUAUACAAAAAAAAUGUUGCAGCUUCCGUUUUCUUCUAGCUUAAGCUUUUAAACUGAAGCAUGUUUCUGUUUACUUUGUGAAGUCAUUAGUAAUACCACUACAAGUUCAUUUCAUUUUCACAUUGAUUCACACAGUUUAUAUCAGGUGCACCUCUGUUAAUGGAAGUGUGGUAAAAAUCCUGUAGGGGCAGUCAUUAUCUACUGUUUUUCCUGUUGAUAGGAAAUGAAAUCGAACAGGAGGUGUUUCGUUAUAAUAAGAUUGUUGAAAACAAACCAAUGCGAUUGCCUGACCUCCCAUUUCAACAUCUGAGAUGCAUUGAAAUAUUUCUGAAAUAAAUAGGAGUCUUGUGGCAAUUUUUACCUCAAAUACAGAACUUUUAGCAGCUUUGCUUAUUGAGGAUUGAAAAACCUUUUGCCAAAGUUGCUCAGUUGGAUGAGACUUUUACUGAAGAUUUAAAGCCCAUUUCAACAGGUUGAAAGCCUAUUUUAAUACUGGGCUUUGACAAUUCUCUGUUUCCUGUUGCGGUUGGAAUAGAUGAUGGUUGAGGUUAUUUCCAACCCUGUAAGUCAGGUUUCCAUGGUUGGAGAUCCUGAAAAGCCUGAUUCUGCUCCCUUUAAAGUCAACAGCAAUGCCAAUUUUGUUAAUAUCAAUGAAAAAAAUGAAAAAUGAGUAUUGGGCCCAAUCAAUUGAAUCUAUUGUUCUUCUUUUUUUACUAUUGUUAAAUAAUUAUGCAGUGCAAAGAACUUACAUUUUUGCAGUCCUACAGAAGUGUGAGUGCUUGUGAGGAGGUAGGGGGAAGGAAUAAUGGCAAAGAUAAAAUUUUCUCAGAUACUUGUUCCAGAUUUAAAAUGUGAUGUUUUUAAUGUCAGCAUGGUACACUGUUGACUGAUUCCUUUGCUUUCUCUAAACAUAUAGUCUCUUGGUUCCAGCCAUAAAAUGCAGAGGGUUUUGUGUACUUGUUAAAAUUUUACCUUAAGUAACAGAAAAUUUUGCAUAAUUUCCUUGUUGCUUGAAUUCAUUUCCUUCAAAAAGGGUCUGAUCCUUUGAAAUCAUAUGACUAACAGAUUUUUUUUCCUGCCACAAGAAGUCUUGUUAUUGAAGACAAUGGGCAGUGACUGUAGAAUCCAGACUUAAUUGUCCAUCCUACUUAACAAGCAGCAAGUCCAAAUUUUCUGCUUGCAAGUGUUAUCUUUUUCUUUCCCUGUUUGUCUGCUGUCUGUUUAGACUGGAAACUCUCUUGGGCAUAAGCUAUUGCAUACUGUGUGUUUGUAGAAAAAAACUAUCAAAAUAUGGUUCUGUAGUAAAGUUUAUUCAGAGAAUAAUUCUGCUUUUUGUAGAUAUUUUAACAUUCACAUAACAAUUCAUUCAAACCAAUACUCUCUACCUAUCUCUAAGCUAUUUUAUUAUUGUCCACAUUAUGUCCUGUGCAUACAGACUACAUGGAGUGGAUCCAGAGCUCAUGAAAAGCU